AUUACUUCUUUGGUUGGACGUUCUCUUCUAGGUCUGCAGAGGAUCAUCUGACUUUAUUGUUCUGCAUUAGCGUCCAAUGCUCAAUCGUAACAUUAUCCUGAUUUUGACCCAACGUUUUCAUCCGUUUUAAUUCUAUCAAAUUGUAAAACUGGUCAAUCCAGACCAAUGCUUGAAGAUCAGAAAUGAAAGUUGAGCAGCCAUAGCUUGUCUGUAUCCGUGAUGGAAAUCUCAAAGAUAUCGAUGCAAACGUAGCGAGAGAUAGGAUAAGAAGUUCCAUAAUCUAUGGGAUUCCCGUCGAUGCGGCAAUGGCAAUUGGU
Molecule: long non-coding RNA, 317 nt
Filed under: Phoenix dactylifera (date palm)
Lineage: Eukaryota; Viridiplantae; Streptophyta; Magnoliopsida; Arecales; Arecaceae
Description: long non-coding RNA (PDAC_LNC022884)
Source: RNAcentral